This is a non-coding RNA of Triticum aestivum (bread wheat), 108 nucleotides long. Lineage: Eukaryota; Viridiplantae; Streptophyta; Magnoliopsida; Poales; Poaceae. The record is from Rfam.
UUGCUACUCCCUCUGUUCCGAAUUACUUGUCUUGGAUUUGUCUAGAUACGGAUGUAUCUCGUGCUAGACAAGUCCAAGACAAGUAAUUCGGAACGGAGGGAGUAUAUG